This 447-nucleotide long non-coding RNA is filed under the name Castor canadensis (American beaver). RNAcentral's name for it is "lncRNA (ENSCCNG00000012864.1)". The record is from RNAcentral. Lineage: Eukaryota; Metazoa; Chordata; Mammalia; Rodentia; Castoridae.
UGAAGAAGGCAGUGCUGCUUGCCAGCCUUAGCCCUGCAGGCUUCUCUUGAAGAUCAGCUGUUCCCAGUGAAUGGACUGACCCUCUCAUCUUGAUGAAUCAUCUGAGCUUGAAGCAUUGACACAUGGUUGACAAAUGUCAUCACAAUAGAUUUUAUGAAGGCAAGGAGUGGAUUUGCUCUUGAGUGAGAGGAAACCCAGGGGCAAGAUUCCUCCACCUCUGAACUCAGGGCCACCACACUAUACCCUCAAUAUUUCUGCAGCCUCUUUGUGACAUGUGAAGAUAUGUGGUCUACGGAUGCACAAUUUCAAGGCAGAGGUAAGCUAAACUGUUGGGACAAAUAGAUUGAGCCAGAUUCUGGAGUGGAGUUUCCCUAAGUUGGCUCAUCCUGAAGUAUCCUGAAGACUUUCUAUAGUGCCUACAGUGUUUCCAUAGUGCCUGGAUGAAGC